UUAGGAAUUUUGCGCAAUGGGGGAAACCCUGACGCAGCAACGCCGCGUGAGUGAUGAAGGCCUUCGGGUUGUAAAACUCUUUUGGUAGGGAAGAAAAAAAUGACGGUACCUACUGAAUAAGCACCGGCUAACUCUGUGCCAGCAGCCGCGGUAAUACAGAGGGUGCAAGCGUUAUUCGGAAUUAUUGGGCGUAAAGGGCGCGUAGGCGGUCUUUUAAGUCUGAUGUGAAAUCCCUGGACUCAAUCCAGGAAGUGCAUUGGAUACUACUAGACUAGAGGGCAGGAGAGGAGAGCGGAAUUCCAGGUGUAGAGGUGAAAUUCGUAGAUAUCUGGAGGAACAACAGAGGCGAAGGCGGCUCUCUGGACUGCAUCUGACGCUGAAGCGCGAAAGCGUGGGGAGCAAACAGG
RNAcentral lists this ribosomal RNA (407 nucleotides) under uncultured bacterium. Its description in RNAcentral is "bacterial SSU rRNA". It matches the Rfam family "Bacterial small subunit ribosomal RNA", at positions 355 to 776 of the family's 1533-position model. The record is from RNAcentral.